CCUACGGGAGGCAGCAGUGAGGAAUAUUGGUCAAUGGACGAGAGUCUGCACCAGCCAAGUAGCGUGAAGGAUGACUGCACUAUGGGUUGUAAACCUCUUUUAUAUGGGAAUAAAACAGGGUAUGCAUACCCACUUGUAUGUACCAUAUGAAUAAGGAUCGGCUAACUCCGUGCCAGCAGCCGCGGUAAUACGGAGGAUCCGAGCGUUAUCCGGCUUUAUUGGGUUUAAAGGGAGCGUAGGCGGUUUGUUAAGUCAGUUGUUAAAGUCCGCGGCUCAACCGUAAACUUGCAGUUGAAACUGGCAGUCUUGAGUACGAUAGAGGUGUGCGGAAUGCGUGGUGUAGCGGUGAAAUGCAUAGAUAUCACGAAGAACUCCGAUUGCGAAGGCAGCACGCUGGACUGACACUGACGCUGAUGCUCGAAAGUGUGGGUAUCGAACAGGAUUAGAUACCCUUGUAGUC
RNAcentral lists this ribosomal RNA (460 nucleotides) under uncultured bacterium. RNAcentral describes it as "partial 16S ribosomal RNA". It matches the Rfam family "Bacterial small subunit ribosomal RNA", at positions 338 to 795 of the family's 1533-position model. The record is from RNAcentral.